RNAcentral lists this long non-coding RNA (1977 nucleotides) under Coffea arabica (coffee). Its description in RNAcentral is "long non-coding RNA (CARA_LNC002214)". Lineage: Eukaryota; Viridiplantae; Streptophyta; Magnoliopsida; Gentianales; Rubiaceae. The record is from RNAcentral.
CCAACUCCUGCUCCUUACCACUACAUAUCUCCUCCGCCACCAACUUAUGUCUAUAAAUCACCACCACCUCCACCACCAACUUACCUAUACAAGUCACCGCCACCACCAGUGAAACCUCCACCAAAGCCGUAUUAUUACGUCUCCCCACCACCACCAACUUAUGUCUAUAAAUCACCACCACCUCCACCACCAACUUACCUAUACAAGUCACCGCCACCACCGGUGAAACCUCCGCCAAAGCCGUAUCAUUACGUCUCCCCACCACCACCUACUGUAUCUCCACCGCAUUAUUACUACACAUCACCACCACCACCGGUGAAACCUCCGCCAAAGCCGUAUCAUUACAUCUCCCCACCACCACCGGAGAAAUCUCCACCACCACCCUAUCCUUACAUCUCCCCGCCACCGCCGGAGAAAUCUCCACCACCACCCUAUCCUUACAUCUCCCCACCACCGCCGGAGAAAUCUCCACCACCGCCCUAUCCUUACAUCUCCCCGCCACCGCCGGAGAAAUCUCCACCACCACCCUAUCCUUACAUCUCCCCGCCACCGCCGGAGAAAUCUCCACCACCACCCUAUCCUUACAUCUCCCCGCCACCGCCGGAGAAAUCUCCACCACCACCCUAUCCUUACAUCUCCCCACCACCGCCGGAGAAAUCUCCACCACCACCUUAUCCUUACAUCUCCCCGCCACCGCCGGAGAAAUCUCCACCACCACCCUAUCCUUACAUCUCCCCGCCACCGCCGGAGAAAUCUCCACCACCACCUUAUCCUUACAUCUCCCCACCACCGCCGGAGAAAUCUCCACCACCUCCAUACCACUACACCUCACCUCCCCCACCCGAAAAAUCACCUCCUCCACCAGUCUACACUUAUGCUUCUCCCCCACCCCCAACUCACUACUGAGCUCCAACAGCUCCGCCACUUUCCACCUUCAAGAAAGUAAGUUCAUUACUAUUCAACUGGUCAUUCAUUUUAUUCCUUGGCAAAAACAAAUCAUAAACUUAACAUCCAUAUACACAAGCCUCUUAACUCUUUCUUCAUCUUGCAGAUUUCCAUUUCAACCAAAGAAUAAAGGAAGGCUUCUUGAGAAGAAGAUACAGACGUCAAAUAUCCUUGAAGGACAUUACAUUCCUCAAUAAGGUCUUCAUCAUGAAAUGCAUAGGCACAAAACUUUCUGACAUGGACCAGUUUGCUUCUACUUCUCUGGUGGCCCUCUUACACAUAAUCAUCAUCCUAGCGCCUUCAAAGUGGACAAGUGGCUAGCCUCAAAUGUUUAUUUAUUUGGACAUAGUGAGAUUAGUCAGCGAGAAUGGAGGGGGUUUUAGAGUUGUUCAUUAUAAUUUAUUACCUGUAUAGAGGAUGCAUGGCCUUCUUGUGAGAUUGAUAUUUAUAUUUAUUACUCGGGUGUUUCUUUAAUUUUCUUGUGUAUUGUGCCCUCAACAAUUGUUAGCAAUAAAAGAAUUGAUAUUUAUAUUAAUUACUCAGGUCUCUUGAUUCUUUAUUUCUCUUGCGUAUUGUGCCCUCGACAAUUGUUAGUAAUAUCUUCAACCAACUUCCCCACAAAACAACCAAAAAAGAGAAAAACAUUAGUAAUAAACUUAUAAAAGAGACAUCUUCGGAAAACACAGCUUGCUUUCUUCCUGCUUCUGGCUCUGACCGACUUUGACAUGACUAUGGAAGUGUGUGCUCAUAGAUAUUUGUUCCAUCUAUUCUGUCUCUCUAGUACACAUUUUUUGUCGCAUAUUCUGAUCAAACUAAUAUAUAAUUUGUACUAAACAAUUUAUUUGAAUUUAUUCAAACAGUUUUUUCAAAAACAUUUUUCAAAAAAUGUCAAAAUAUGUGUAACUCCCAAAGUUCAUGCAAGUUGGCACUUGGCAAAAAGAGGGGGGAUGAAGAGCGAAGACUUUUAUGGGAAUCUUUAUGAGAUCAACAUAGACACAACAGGGCCUAGUUAUCGUUUUGACAGCGGAAAAA